UACAGAGGGGGCAAGCGUUAUUCGGAAUUAUUGGGCGUAAAGGGCGCGUAGGCGGCCUGGCAAGUGGAAGGUGAAAUCCCUCGGCUUAACCGAGGAACUGCCCUCCAAACUGCUUGGCUUGAGUCCGGGAGAGGUGAGUGGAAUUCCCAGUGUAGCGGUGAAAUGCGUAGAUAUUGGGAGGAACACCAGUGGCGAAGGCGGCUCACUGGACCGGAACUGACGCUGAGACGCGAAAGCGUGGGGAGCGAACAGG
Molecule: ribosomal RNA, 253 nt
Filed under: uncultured bacterium
Lineage: Bacteria
Description: partial 16S ribosomal RNA
Rfam family: Bacterial small subunit ribosomal RNA
Source: RNAcentral